AUAUAGCAGAGCUUGAACUCCAACACGUGGAGCUGAACCUGAACCUGAACCUUGUUUUGUGACUCCUAAGAGCGAGCCUGCUAGUUGAGAUGUUACAGUAAUUAUUGUGCAGGUUUUGGAUUUAGACGGUUUCAGCUUCUCAGUUGAAAUUGGUCCAACGUUGAGAAUAAGAUGAUUAGCAGAAAAACACUGAAUAAUGCUCUGUUCAGACCCCUCCACCUGAAUACGUGUCCGAGAAAUCCCUUUCUCUUCAUCUAAUCCAAAUUGA
This 268-nucleotide unclassified non-coding RNA is filed under the name Hevea brasiliensis (rubber tree). Lineage: Eukaryota; Viridiplantae; Streptophyta; Magnoliopsida; Malpighiales; Euphorbiaceae. The record is from RNAcentral.